Long non-coding RNA from Lucilia sericata (common green bottle fly), 1006 nucleotides. RefSeq lists it as uncharacterized. The transcript is spliced from 4 exons. NCBI's taxonomy places the organism in Eukaryota, Metazoa, Arthropoda, Insecta, Diptera, Calliphoridae. The record is from RefSeq and is a predicted model, not a curated record.
UAAUAUUUCUAAAGUGUUCGGUUGUUUACAGUUAAUAAUACUAUUUAAAUUAAGCUAAAACGUUUAAUAAUUGUUAAUAAUAAAAUAUUUUUGUUGAAUAAUAUUAAACUAAUGUUAAUUUAUAUCGGUAUUUAAAAAUAUUUAUGAAAAACGUUUUAGAAAUUAGUGAAAAAAGUGUAAAUUUAAUAAAAAUGUGAAUUUUGCCAAAUUUGUUAAGACAAUUGUUAGAAGGCGGUCAUUGUUUCAUGGUUUCCAGGGCUAUUAAUUAAUUGUUAAUAAUAAAAUAUUUUUGUUGUAUAAUAUUAAACAAAUGUUAAUUUAUAUCGGUAUUUAAAUUAUUUAUGAAAAACGUUUUAGAAAUUAGUGAAAAAAGUGUUAGAAAAUUUUAUAAAAAUGUGGAAUUCGCCAAAUUUGUUAAGGCAAUUGAUAGAAGGUGGUCAUUGUUUCUUGGUUUCCAGGGCUAUUCGUAUGCAUCCAAACACGAGGGGAAGUAAAUUGUAUGUGAGGAAAAUGUAAUUAUUGUGUUUUAGCUGUGAAAUAAGGAGACAACAACAACAACUAAAAUAAAGGUUUAAAAACUACCUUCUGCAAAUGUCAAAUCAAACGUUUGUUGCUACAGUUUUGAAUUCUAUAAGAAGUUCAUACAAAAACUGUUGUUUUGAUAACAAUAAUUUACAAAAACUAAGAAAAACAACAUAAUUCCUCGUAAUUUAAAUAGAAUGUCAAUCAAAAUAUAUUAUAAAAGGCAUACUUUACAAACGGUUACAAAUUGUUGCUGAAUUUUUUUAGUUUCAAACAGUAGGCGUUAUGGAAAUACGUUUUUUGCAUAUUAAAAACGUAAAUAUGUAUAUGUUUACAAUAUAGAAAACCACAAUCGUAUGAUGAUAAUGAUGAUGAUGAUGUAUUGUCUAUAUAAAAAAGUCACUGAAUGUUUAAAAGGUGGAAGAAACCAUAAAAUGAAUGGAAAAAUAAAAUGGGUUGUUGCAUAAAAUUCAGACGUACCUAG